RNAcentral lists this ribosomal RNA (246 nucleotides) under uncultured bacterium. RNAcentral describes it as "partial 16S ribosomal RNA". It matches the Rfam family "Bacterial small subunit ribosomal RNA", at positions 524 to 776 of the family's 1533-position model. The record is from RNAcentral.
UACGUAGGGUCCAAGCGUUGUUCGGAAUUACUGGCGUAAAGCGCGCGUAGGCGGGUUUGUAUGUCGAUUGUGAAAUCCCCGGCUCAACCUGGAACUGCAGUCGAAACUGCAAUCUUGAAUGUCUGAGAGGAUGCGGAAUUCCCGGUGUAGUAGUGAAAUACGUAGAUAUCGGGAAGAACACCUGAGGCGAAGGCGGCUAUCUGGCGGUACAUUGACGCUAAGGCGCGAAAGCGUGGGAGCAACAGG